GGAUUCUAAUGACCUGUUAAACGAGCACUGAUUACAUGUGAUAGUGCCUGUGGUCCAGUGGUAGAGCGUAGGCUAAUUAACGCAUUAAUUAGCAGAGCCGAUCUUACCAACGUCAUCAACAGUCAAGGCAGACAUCUUUCUUCAAGAAAUCUGCCCAAAAGGAAAAACACUGAAAUUGGUAAGUAAUGUUUAUGUGCAAUGUCGUUAACUAUAGUUCAUUUAUUGCAUCGGCACUCCUUCAAGAUUGGGGACAUCCGGACACCCACCACCAAGCUAUCAGACUUCAAGCCCUUCAUGCCUGCCCCAAGGGAAGCGACAACCCUCCCAACUAAAGUUCAAGAGGCAAUAGAGAAGAACAAUGAAAAACUGCAAAAACAAUCAAAGAUCACUCUGACAAAGCACCGAAGACAAGCGUCAGUAUCAGAACAAUAAAGAAG
This 437-nucleotide long non-coding RNA is filed under the name Haliotis rufescens (red abalone). Its description in RNAcentral is "uncharacterized LOC125383235, transcript variant X1". Lineage: Eukaryota; Metazoa; Mollusca; Gastropoda; Lepetellida; Haliotidae. The record is from RNAcentral.